GCCAGACUCCUACGGGAGGCAGCAGUGGGGGAUAUUGCACAAUGGGGGGAACCCUGAUGCAGCGACGCCGCGUGAAGGAAGAAGUAUCUCGGUAUGUAAACUUCUAUCAGCAGGGAAGAAAAUGACGGUACCUGACUAAGAAGCCCCGGCUAACUACGUGCCAGCAGCCGCGGUAAUACGUAGGGGGCAAGCGUUAUCCGGAUUUACUGGGUGUAAAGGGAGCGUAGGCGGCAGUGCAAGUCAGAUGUGAAAGCCAUGGGCUCAACCUGUGGCCUGCAUUUGAAACUGUUUUUCUUGAGUACUGGAGAGGCAGACGGAAUUCCUAGUGUAGCGGUGAAAUGCGUAGAUAUUAGGAGGAACACCAGUGGCGAAGGCGGUCUGCUGGACAGCAACUGACGCUGAGGCGCGAAAGCGUGGGGAGCAAACAGGAUUAGAUACCCUUGUA
Molecule: ribosomal RNA, 445 nt
Filed under: uncultured bacterium
Lineage: Bacteria
Description: partial 16S ribosomal RNA
Rfam family: Bacterial small subunit ribosomal RNA
Source: RNAcentral